GCCGGGCAUGGUGGCACAUGCCUGCAGUCCCAGCCAUACGGGAGGCUGAAGCAGGAGGAUGGCUCAAGCCCAGGAGUUCUGGGCUGUAGUGUGCUAUGCUGAUCGGGUGUCCGCGCUAAGUUUGACAUCAGUAUGGUGACCUCCCGGGAGCGGAGGACGAUCAGGUUGCCUAAGGAGGGGUAAACCGACCCAGAUGGGAAACCGAGCAGGUCAAAGAGCAUGUGAAUGGGUUGUGUUCCCAGUAAUGGGGAACUGGCUUGGCACAGAGGAAGGACCACCUGUGGUUAU
Unclassified non-coding RNA from Camelus dromedarius (Arabian camel), 288 nucleotides. It matches the Rfam family "Metazoan signal recognition particle RNA". From Rfam's summary of the family: The signal recognition particle (SRP) is a universally conserved ribonucleoprotein. It is involved in the co-translational targeting of proteins to membranes. Lineage: Eukaryota; Metazoa; Chordata; Mammalia; Artiodactyla; Camelidae. The record is from Ensembl.